This 782-nucleotide ribosomal RNA is filed under the name Cryphognomonia pini. RNAcentral describes it as "Diaporthales sp. QY-2019b partial large subunit ribosomal RNA". It matches the Rfam family "Eukaryotic large subunit ribosomal RNA", at positions 131 to 939 of the family's 3401-position model. The record is from RNAcentral. Lineage: Eukaryota; Fungi; Ascomycota; Sordariomycetes; Diaporthales; Gnomoniaceae.
CUUCGGCCCGAGUUGUAAUUUGCAGAGGAUGUUUAUGGUGCGGUACCUUCCGAGUUCCCUGGAACGGGACGCCACAGAGGGUGAGAGCCCCGUCUGGUUGGAUACUAAACCUGUGUUAAACUCCUUCAACGAGUCGAGUAGUUUGGGAAUGCUGCUCUAAAUGGGAGGUAAAUCUCUUCUAAAGCUAAAUACCGGCCAGAGACCGAUAGCGCACAAGUAGAGUGAUCGAAAGAUGAAAAGCACCUUGAAAAGGGGGUUAAACAGUACGUGAAAUUGUUGAAAGGGAAGCGUUUAUGACCAGACUUGUGUCGUGUGGCUCAUCCGAGGUUCUCCCCGGUGCACUCCACGCGGCUCAGGCCAACAUCGGUUGUCGUUGGGGGAUAAGAACAGUAGGAACGUGGCCCCUCUCGAGGGGUGUUAUAGCCUGUUGUACGAUACCCUGAUGGCGACCGAGGACCGCGCUUCGGCUAGGAUGUUGGCGUAAUGGUCAUUAGCGACCCGUCUUGAAACACGGACCAAGGAGUCGUCCAUUAGAGCGAGCGUUUGGGUGUAAAACCCGCACGCGUAAUGAAAGUGAAAUUAGGUGAGAGCUUCGGCGCAUCAUCGACCGAUCCUGAAGUUUACAGAUGGAUUUGAGUAAGAGUUUUAACGGACGGACCCGAAAGACAGUGAACUAUGCUUGAAUAGGGUGAAGCCAGAGGAAACUCUGGUGGAGGCUCGCAGCGGUUCUGACGUGCAAAUCGAUCGUCAAAUUUGAGCAUGGGGGCGAAAGACUAAUCGAA